This 403-nucleotide ribosomal RNA is filed under the name uncultured prokaryote. RNAcentral describes it as "bacterial SSU rRNA". It matches the Rfam family "Bacterial small subunit ribosomal RNA", at positions 355 to 774 of the family's 1533-position model. The record is from RNAcentral.
UGGGGAAUCAUGGUCAAUGGGCGAAAGCCUGAACCUGCGACGCCGCGUGGGGGAUGACGCCUUACGGUGUGUAAACUCCUUUUUUGGUGGAAGACGAAUGACGGUACACCAAGAAUAAGCGACGGCUAACUACGUGCCAGCAGCCGCGGUAAUACGUAGGUCCCAAGCGUUAUCCGGAUUUACUGGGCGUAAAGUGUCCGUAGCCGGAUAUACAAGUCUGUUUUCAAAUCUCCUGGCUCAACCAGGAAAAGGGAAUAGAUACUGUAUAUCUAGAGAAUAUUGGAGGUUAGUGGAAUUUCCGGUGGAGCGGUGAAAUGCGUUGAUAUCGGAAAGAACGCCGAAAGCGAAAGCAGCUAACUAUGAUAUUUCUGACGGUGAUGGACGAAAGCUUGAGUAGCAAACG